AAGUAGGUCUUAGUGAUCCGGUGGUUCUGAAUGGAAGGGCCAUCGCUCAACGGAUAAAAGGUACUCCGGGGAUAACAGGCUGAUACCGCCCAAGAGUUCAUAUCGACGGCGGUGUUUGGGCACCUCGAUGUCGGCUCAGUCACAUCCUGGGGCUGAAGUAGGGUCCCAAGGGUAUGGCUGUUCGCCAUUUAAAGUGGUACGCGAGCUGGGUUUAGAACGUCGUGAGACAGUUCGGUCCCUAUCUGCCGUGGGCGUUGGAAGAUUGAGAGGGGUUGCUCCUAGUACGAGAGGACCGGAGUGAACGCACCACUGGUGUUCGGG
Molecule: ribosomal RNA, 321 nt
Filed under: Shigella sp. FC1967
Lineage: Bacteria; Pseudomonadati; Pseudomonadota; Gammaproteobacteria; Enterobacterales; Enterobacteriaceae
Description: bacterial LSU rRNA
Rfam family: Bacterial large subunit ribosomal RNA
Source: RNAcentral